Anas platyrhynchos (mallard) is the source of this 12649-nucleotide non-coding RNA. The record is from RefSeq and is a predicted model, not a curated record. NCBI's taxonomy places the organism in Eukaryota, Metazoa, Chordata, Aves, Anseriformes, Anatidae.
CCUCUCCCUCUCCUCCUCCUCCCCUUGCCUCUCUCUCUCUCUCUCUCCAUCCUCUUAUCUCAUCCCCCUUGUUUUUCUCCUCUCUGCCUGUCCGGCUGAUUUACAUGCAUGCUGCGUUGAAGCAGCUCAGCUGGAUCUAAUGCCUCCUGCCGCGAGGAGCAGAGCCGGCUCCGGCCUCGGUGCGCCACUUCUCCGGGCAGGGGAGGAAGAAGUGGGGCCACCACUUUUGGCCCCUUUCCUCGUUGCCUUUCCCUUUUCAUCCAUUUUCCCUUCCAGCCCAUUUUUCCAUUGCUUCGCUCCUCCUUUCGCUCUCCCUCCUGCCAGGUCCCUGACCCACGUCUCCUCCAGCCUCCUGUGCCCCUGCUGAGCAGCUCCCCAUGAGACAACUGCUUCUUUUGGCUGGGAGAGGAGGCACCAAAAGCCUGCAGCCAGCUGGAGAGCUUGGGGGGGACCGGGGGCAUUAGGCACUGACCUGGGGAUUGCUGCUGAGCGCUCCCAGGUGGGGUCUUGGGGCAGUUUUCCUCCACCCCUGUGUCCAUGCCGAGAGCAGGGAUCGAGGUGCCCACGUUAAUCACUGGCUCUAAUCACUCCCAUUUCCAUUUGGCUGAUUUGCAUUUCCGCAAGAGGAAGAUGCCCUGAUUAAUAUCCCCUCAGAAGAGCUUUAUUGCGAUGGCUCCUGCCUCUCUAAUUGGAAAGUGGUCUUAACCUUUCAUGCAAGUGGCUGGGACGUUCCCUGCCUGCCAGAAGCCCCAGGAAGGGUCUCUCUUGCCCUGAGUUUUAGGGGAGCGGAAGGUUUGGAGGCUCCAAAGCAGGGCAGGAGCCCUCCAUCCAAAGGGGAUGCUCCUGGGGGUCCCAGAGCUGUACCCACCUCCAGCACGGGAAGUUUUCCCAACAGAAGCCGCAAGGGGACAGGGAGCAGGGGGUUGUGCUGGGGUGAUCCAACACCAGCGAGCACCCAGCCACCUCUGAGCAACCAGCUGGGUGCUCCUGAGCUUGCACCCAUGUCCUAAUUAAUGACCCAGGGAGGAUGAGCUCCUGUGAUGACAACGGAGCCGUUCCCCUCUGCCCACGUGUGGCAGGGAGGCAGGAUCGGACCCAGCCGCUGGGAUCCUGCAUCUUUGGCUCCCCAGGGAGUCCCAGGCCCACCACCAAACCCGUGCUGGCAGCUUGAAAGCCUGCCUUGCACUCGGCUGCUUUCUGAUCUUCAAAGGCUCCAGAUGCCCGAGGAAAUCAGCCCUCGUGGCUCCUCUUCCAGUGCAGUCCCCAGCUCCGAGCUCUCGUGCAGUUUGUUAUCCCUGCCGUGUGCUGCUGCCUCCCCAGCCCUGCGUGGCGAAGGGGCACUGCUCUGUGCCUCUUCCUUGGGUGAUCUCUUCCAAAACUGCUGCUGGAGGAGAUGUGUGCGUGUGGGCAUGGCCAACUUUAUCCCCAAAAACCUCCCUGCUGGCUUCCCAGGGCUGUUUUAAGACCCCAACUCAUCUCCCAGGUGCUUCAGCCUCCCCUUCCCUUUCCUUCUCAGGUUAAGGAAGUGAUUUUUUUUUAUUAUUACUUUUUAAUUUUGGCGUUUAAGCUGCUUUAAGGGCCGCAGCAGCGAACGUUCCCGAUAAACAGCCUGGGAGAUCCAGGGAAUAAUCUCUCUGCUUGGUGACGGCAGAGGCGCAUAUCGCAGCUGCUGGCAGCGCGCGGAAAGCUGGCCUCAUCCGCUGCAGUGCUCCAGCAGCCCGGGGAGGGGAAAAAAUUGCCUCCGUCCUUAAUCACAGAAUUUGAAAUCCCAGCUAGUCUGCACCUUUUAUUCCUCGGGUUUAUGGGGUUGGUUUUAGCCUCUGAGAGAAAGGGCGAUAACUCCCACCCCCGUGUAACCCUUUGCAUACAACCAUUUGCAGAGCUGUGGGGUCGAUCUUGGUGGUUUUUUGUUUUUUUGUUUUAGGGUGAUGUGAUUUGCUGAGAGCUCUGCCCCCAGCCCUGCUUGUGCCGUGCAGCCUGCAGGGAGCUUUGUGCAGGGCUUUGCUGUGUGGCUGGAGGGAAAUCAGUGGCUGCUGGGGAGGGGGCAGUGAGCAGCAGCUCGCUCCCCUUCCCCAGGGACUCAUCCGUGACAUCCUCGUGGUGAAGGGGAAGAGGGAUUUUGCGAGCGCUUCAGCAUCGGCUGCAGAAAUGGGGUGUCGAGAGGGAGGAUUGGGGCUGCUGCUGCGAGAGCCGAUCCCGCUGCCGGAGGAGGCGUUUUGGGACACGCACCCUCCCGUCGUCACUGCCUGUCCCUCUCCUGCAGCUAUUUCUGCCUCAACUUUCCACCGAGCUGCUUCCAACGCUUCCCAGUCUAAAACCAUGCUGGUUUAGACAGCCAGUUUCAUCCCCCCCUUCCAUGUCUCGUUUGCAUAUAUUUGCAUAGCACACAGGUUUCUGGGAGGGGAGGAGGAGCUGGAGAGGCACAUCCUUUAUUCCUUUUAUUUUUUUCCCCCUCUCAGCAGAAUUGCAUUUAUUUAUUUAAAUCGGGCGCUGUUGCUAAGAGGGGCUCGCUCCUCGCCUGGUCCCGCGGAUGGGGCUGUAGGGAUGGGUUUGCUCAUUUUUUGGGUCACUCGAAAGGUGUCGAGCAGGUGCACCCAGACCCCAUCCUGGCAUAUUUGCCAUUCCCUCGGCCUCGCUUCCAAAAAAGCUGCCCCUCGAUGGAGGCACUGCUGCAGCAAAUGGUGCCCCCCCUGCCCACAGCCAGUCUGGCACCUUGCUGGGCUGGAGCCCGGUGUAUUUUGGGGGUGGUGAUGGAUGUUCUGGGGGAAAUUGGCUUUCCAGGUCUGUAUUUUUUUUUUUUCCCAGUUUCCCAGCCAAAUUGGAAAUGCAAACUGUGGGCAGGCGGAGCUCCUGCGUUUUGGCAGCUGGUUUUCCCUUCCUAGGGAUGCUCUGGAUGCAGAAUGCCCCCAGGGUCAGAUGCGAGCCGGGUAUAAACUCGUAGGAUUUGCUGCUUGCUGGGGGCAAUCACACGGGUCCCAGCACUCGUCUGCCUUCCCACGGCACCUCUGCCAUCGGGCUCUGCUCCUGGCUAAAAGUUCCUGGCUGGCCCAGGCAGAGGGUGACUGCACCCUCACCCCAGCUCCUGCACUGGGAUGGCUGCAGGGAGGGGAAGGAAAACUCCUCUUUUCACUGGGCUCUGCAGGGUUUCCUUUCCCUGGGGCUUUGCUGGGUUGGAAUUCUCCUGUCUGGUCCCUGUCUGGGUUUGGUUGCCUCCUCGGCUCUCCUGAAGGUCUCCUUCCCGUGGGAUUUGCUGCUCUUCUUGGAAAACAGCAAACCUUUUGGAGUAGGUUUCCCAGAGCCUAGCCAUGGUCCUGCUUGGGCACCUGCAAAGAGCUCUGUCCCCAUCCCUGUGGGCUCGUUCUUGCUUCUCCCAGAGAGAUUAGAAGGCAAGUCCCUUGAUGUCCUUGCUACAAUAUUUUUUUGCUCUAAGAGGAUCAGGGCACCUCCUGGCUGUCCUGCCAGGUGGAAGAGCAAACCAACAGGGCUGUGGGUGCGCAGGGCUCACCUCGCCGGGAUGGAUUUCUCUUUCUCUUGGGGGCAAGACGAGGAGGGAGACCAGUUGUGUGCCGAGAUGGGGAGGAUGGGGAUGGUGAUGGUGGGGAGGGAGCUGCUGGCUAGAACCAAGCAAGGAAGGCAGAGGGCUGGCUGUGGCUGGCAUGGCACGGCUCAGCUUGGCACGGCUGCUGUGUCCCCGUGCGCCACUAGGACAGGGCAGCACCGGGUGGUGGCUCGGCUGUCACCUGGGAAGGCGAGCUCCGUGCUGGCUUUCUGUCUCCGGGUGCUGGACACCACAAACCUGAAGACCUAAACCAGGAUCAAACCCCCCCAGCUCUGUGCCACAGGGACCCCAGCCCCGAGGAGCCGGGGGCUCUGCUGGGAGCGCCCUUUGCUCCCGUGCCCUCUGGCUCGCCAAGCUUCCCCAGCGGCGCGGCGCGGAGGCUGUUUGUCUUCAGCUUGACCGUUCCUCCGCCUCCCCCGCCUGUCUCCUCCGCUUCCUCAUUCUCGGUGUCGGGUUGAGCAAGAGCAGAGCGGAGCCUCCUCGGGAUCAGGCCAACCCAUUCUCCCAUGAAUCUCCAUAGAUUUCAGCCCUCGGCCACUGGGGAUCUCCGUUGCUGGCUAUCUCCGCUGGCUUUAGCUCUCUGCGCUUGGUCAAGGUCAGAUGUGGCUCUUUUUUUUCUGCUCCCACUGGAAACGAGCCCAAAUCCUUUUGCUGUGGAGACGCGGGGCUGGUGGCACAGCGAUCCACCCUCGGUGAGCACCCGCCUGCCACCGCUCCUGCUCUCACCACUUCUGCCUCCUGGGGACGUGCCAGCGAGGAGCAGAGAUCCCUGCAACCCCUAAACUUAUUUCUCCCCCCCAAAAAUAAGGCGGAUGCGAUUCCACGUGUGUUCCUCGGGGCUGUGCAGAGAGGCUCGUGCAUUAUUUACCGAGCUGUGCAGCCGGAGCCAGCCCUGACCCUGCUCUCGCCCGGCUGAGAUCGGCGGCGGAGGGAGCGAACCCCUCCUGGUGGCACGGUGCCGGUGGCUGGAGCUGGGCUCAGGUUUCUUGCUGGAUGGAUCUGGUGGCCCAGCAGCAGUGUCUGGCCCUGCUGCCCCUUGGUGUGGUGCUUGGGGCUGGGCUCAGCCCCUUGUAGCCCCCCCGGAGCUGCACCCACUGCUGUGGUGCUGUGCUGGGGGUGCGCGAGGCGGGCUGACCGUAAAGCCCCAUGCGAGCACUCAGCAGCGGAGCCAAAUUCUUGACUUUUGGCCCUUGGUGGGGGGGUGUGGGGUGGGGAGGAGGAGGGAUGUGUUGUGUUCGAGCCCCGUUUUGCCUCCACCACCCCCUCACCAUGAAAACAGCCCCAGCAAAGCGCUGCACCCGCCUGGCACGCAGCUUGGCCCCCUCUGCUCUCCCCAUCGGGGCCGGAUGGGGCAUGGGGGCUACCCGCAUAACACCCCCCUCUUUUUCCUCCCCCCUUUUGUCCCCCUUAGAUCUCACAUCUCCUAAAAAACCCCCUUCUCCCCGGCUGCUUUUUUUCUCGCUAACCUCCACUCGCUUUGCCUCUCCUCCCCUCCCUCCCUCCUCUCCAUCUCCCUCCCUCCCUCUCUCUGGGGGGAAAAAAGGUCAUUGCGCAAAUGAUUAGUCAGAGCUCAGUUGCUGUAGCAACCGGCUGCUGGAACUGGGACAGGCGUGCAGCGAGGACAACGGAGAGGUCGACCAUCAGCGAGGGCUGGGGAGCCCAGCCUUUGUAUUUCCUUCCCCGAUCCAGCGAGCGAGGCGGUGCGAAGCCCCCUGCCCCACGCCACGCAUGGGGAUGUAUCCGUGCCCGGCCGGGGUGGCAGUCCCUGGGUUGGGACAUCGCCCCCGUGGUGUGGUUGGAGCUGGUGGCUCAGUGCCACCACGGUUUUGGAGCUCUCUGGCUGCUCCUGGCCACGUGUGGCUCUGUCCUUUGGGGCCAUGCCCCUGCUUGGGGCAAUUUCCUGCAGCCACGCGGGGCUCUGGGGCUCUUUGUCCCCUUGUGGCAUCCCGCAUGGGGUGUGUGAAGCUGAGUUCCUCCUGUUCCGGCACGAGGAUCUGGGUGUUGGCUGUGUCCUGCCUAUGUCCAGCUCCAGAGCACUGCUCUCCAUCUGCCUCUGACCCCCUGAGCAGCUUCAAGCAGAGACCUCUCCAAAUCCUCCUCUGCUCCCUGCCCCAAGCUCGAGGAUAUCAGCGGUGGCUGGGGGCUGCUUACCCCUGGAGGGCAGGGUGAGGACCCUGCUGGGGAAGGUCAGGCAGCGUUCAGGGUGGUUUUCACCCUGCUGUGGUCUUCAGGAGGUUUUCUUGCCAGGCUCAGCCUGUCCCAGUCCAGGAGGAGCAGCGGAGCCAGCAGCAUCACUGUGCAGCCUGGCAGGACCCCGUGCAGGGCUGCGAAAUGGGGAGAGCAGAGGGGGUCCCCUAUUGCAGUCCUUGCCCUGGGCAGCGCUGCCUCUGCAGCUCCACAGCUCUGCUAUUUUCCUCUUUAGCCCCCCAAAUCCUGCUGUGCCCCUGUGUCUGCCUGUUCCCAUCGCCAGCUCAGGAGCAGAGCCGGUGUCCCACGUUAGGGUGAGGUGGGAGAGCUGCCUCCAUUUCUGCUGUUUGCCUUGCACACCGUUCAAGGCGUGCAGAAAGCAGGUUCAGCUCGUAGCACACGCUGCCUUUAAGCUGCUCCCUGCUCUUUGUGUGCUGAGCAGGGAUCUGGGGCCACGCUUGGUGAAUGGGGGGUAAACUGGGCUUUGAGACCCCCAAGGGAAAAUGCUCAGGAGGAGCUGGGGGCUGUGGCAGCUCCGAGCUGGUACCAGUGCUGCUGGGGAGGGGAUGAGAAACUUCAGGAGCAUCUCUGGGACAGCUGGGUGGGCUCCGGGUGGCAUUUAAGGGAUGUCUUUGGUGUCCUGCGUAAGGUCAGGCUCUGCCCAUUCAUCUAGGAGGCUGUGGUUUGGCGUCCUCAAGCCUAGGAAAUGAUUUUAGCCCGAGUUUGUGAGAAGUGCAGGAAAAGGCUAUUUAUGCAGAAAAUGGCUUCCAAUAAACAGGCUUCCUCUGGGAGCGGAGAGAAAUUGCUGAGAUGUGCUGGAAGUCUUUUCGCUUUGCUGGGACCCUCCUUGAGUGCCGAGAGAGACUUGGCUGUGCCGUGCUCCCCAGAGCCCUCCUGGCAGCCCACUGGGGUGGCUGCAGAUGGAGAGGGGCUCGGAGGGCGCUGCUCCCACCAUUUGCCUCGUCUCUCAUCUCUUCCUUCGUUCCUUAAAACCUCAUUUUUUGAAGCCGUGUGGCUGCAGAGUGCUGGCAGGGGGUUUGCUGCUUUCAGGGCUCCUUUCCUUGCCGUAGCAGAGAGGAGCGCAGCAGCGUGAUGUAAGAGUGGCCUACAGGCUCAAAAGCCAGUAGGGAAAUAAAAACAAGUCAGCCACUCUCCUUCCUUUUUUUCUUCUCCUUCCUUUUUUUCUCUUGCAAAUCUCAUCAUUUUAAAAGCCGUUCCCUGGUUUUUCCAGGGUCUGGAAAUCUUUGGGAGAUGUGAAUGCUCGGAGCUGACCCCACUGUGUUUGCGCUCUGCUUACCUUGGGUGCUGGGGCCGUGUUUUCCUUUGGAGAUGGUGGGUGCAGCUUCGGUCCAGCUGACUAAUAUUUCAGGUUAUCAGAAAUGACAAAAAUGAAUGAAUGAAUGAAAGGCCUCCAGGAGAGAGGCAAAAAUCCUUGUGACUCACUCCAGUGAUUCGCAUUUGAGCCCGAAACCACAAAAUGGUGCCUGCUCCCUGCUGCCCCUCGCAAUGUGCUGGGAGACCGCCACCACCCAGAGCUGGGUCCUUCUCCCUUGGGAAAUGGGGCCGCCAAGUCCCCAGCCCAUCACUGCUCCUUUUUGCUACCUCUCCCCUCUCUCAGCGCCCUCCUUACUCCUGUAGGACCUCCAGGGUAUAGGUAGAGGGGCGGCUGUGCUGGUGCUUGAAGGCUGCAACCCCUGGAGGGAGCAUCCGUGAGCUGCAAGAGGCAGGGAGGAGGUUUGGGAAUAUUUUUUCUCCUGUGGGUGAUAUCUGAGAGACCUGAAGCAAGCAGUGCUUGUCUUUGAUGGUUUAGGGAGCACAUUUGUGGCCGUGUGAUAGCUCACGGCUUGGAAAGGGCAGAGGGGGGGAAGACUGGGGCCACCCUAGUCCAUCCCACAGCAGUAGGUGGAGGUGUGUGCUGUCCGAGGAGGUAGGGAAGGCCUAAAAGUAUUUAAAAACAAGUGCUUGAGGUCUGUCUUACACCACUGCUGUGCUGUGCUUUGCUGGGAACCAUCUGCAGGGCAGGAUGGGGCCGGCUGCGAGGCCAAUCUGCGGCGCACACCCAGUGGCAGGAUGGAUCUGGGCUGGAGGAGAUGGGCAAGGAGCACGGGGGAUGAAGGAGUGGACCCUUUCCCUUCAUUCUCCUGUCUUACUGCGCUUCUGCUCCUCCCAAGAAAUGUACUUGCGAGCGUUUGUCAGUGAUUGCCAUCGAAACCGGAGAAAAUCUAUAAGCUGGGGUCAGGCUCCUCUUCCAGGCUGUCGUGUCAGGAGAAUCCCUGUGCCUCCUCCCUAAAACCGCAGGGAGCAGCCCCCGUGCUCAGCUCUGCGGCUCACUGACACGGGCAUGGUGCUCGGGAGGUCUCCAGCAGAUGUUGGCUGGCGGUGGCGAGGAGCCGGAGCGGUGCCUGGGGACACCACGGGCUCGGGGAGGUGCCUGAGUGAUGCCCAGCAGAUGAGCCUGCCGUGGGCUUGGGGUGAUGGGGUUUGGAGGAAGACCCUCGAGGGAAACCCACCGCAGAGCUAACGCGUGCUGUCCUUUUGGUUCGUGCUUUUGUUGAGGGUCCUGGCUUGGUGCCCGUGGGCUGUGUGGGCAGGGAGUGCCCGAGGCCAGCGGGGAAUUGUUCCCAGCCCAGCAGCUCCUUGUUGGAGAGGACGUUUCACCCAAAUGGGAUGUGGGCUCGCUACCGAGCGGUGAUCAGGCAGCACGGGGAGGAGCCCAGCUGCUUGUCUUGGCAUUUAGCUCACUGUGGGGUUGGGGGGAGCACGAGGAAGCCGCUCAGGGGCUUUGCUCGGGGUUUGGCACAUUGCUGCUGGUGCCAGUGGGGUGGGUGCUCGAGCGCCUGGCUCAUGGUGCUUGGCUGAGACCUGCAAAUCAGCACCUCUGUAGGGUUGGAGGGUUCCUGGGUUGGUAAUCUCUUAAAAGAUCUCUUAAAAGUUGAAUAUUCAUCAGUGCCUGGUGGCUUAUUUCUUGUGUGCAUGUGAGAAACCACCCAGCCAGCAGCUGAGGGAGUGCCUGAUGGUGCUGGGUGCUGGCACAGGGAGCCAGGCUGCCUUUCUGCUCCUUACCCACCCCGUCUCUUCCACCUGGCCUGAGAUGAGCCCCCAAAAGGACCAGGCUGGCUGACCUUUGGUGAUGUGCACCCCGAUGGUGAGGGUCAGCCCCGCUUCACCCUGUGAGGGCGGUGAGGAACGGCACGUCCCCGUGCACCCGAGCCCCGAAACGGCACGCGGGGAAUGACGCAGCGAAGGUGAAAUAUCAAAGGGAGAAGGGGAAGUGCGUGGCAGGAGCAGGGGAAGCAGAGGAGAGAAUAGCCGGAGCUGACCUCAGCGGGGCGGGAGCGGGGUGGGGAGCCCGGCUGCAUGCAUGGAAGGGAAAUGGGGAGAGGAUACAGCUGGGACCGGCCAGCACCGAAACCGUCCGCGCCCUGUGCACCGGCACGCGCUGGCCCUCGCUGUUGGAUUUGCCUCUUCCCACUUUCCUAAGGGCACACGUUGUGGAUGGAGCAUCCCAGCGUGGUCCAGGGAAGCUGUUUGGAUCCUUUCUAUACCCCUCCUGUGCCUCGCAGUGCGCAGGGAUUGCAGCAAAAGCAUCCAGCCUGGUGCCACCCGAGCGCGGUGCUCGCAUGUGGCUGCGUCCCCGUGCCAUGGGUGGAGGAUCCAGCCCUCAUCUCGUGCUCAGCCUCACUGCAAACCCCACUGUUGACAGCCACGGUGCAUCCAGACCCAGUUCUCUGUGCCCUGGUGGUGAUAAAGGCAGCACAGGACGGGUUUUGGCCAUCGAGCCUUCCCCAGCAGUGUCACGGCAACUGGGGCCACGUGUUGGGAAGUGGCACAAGCUGUCCCAGGGUCACUGCUGUCCCUGCAAGUGCUCCCGGCUCUGCCCAAGGAUGGCUGACUUUUUUUUUUUUUUUUGCAUGUGGAGUUUUAUUUUUAGCUGGAAAAAAAAAAAAGCCCCAACAACCAGCCCUUAAAAACAAACGCACGCAAAGUUUUCGUGAAAAGAAAAAAAACAUAAAAAUCUCAACAUAAUGGAAUUUUUUCCCUUCUUCGCAAAACUGCCUGUGACAUUUCUAAAUGAAGGGUUCCUCCCGUCCUUCUGCUUUUCCCCCUCAAUCUUCAGUGAAAUUUCUUCCUUCCCUAAGUCGCCCUCUUUUCCUCCCUGAGAUAAGCUCCCUCAGGAGGAGCAGCAGCGAGCACAGGGAAUGUUUUUUCUGCAAUGUUGCUUUUUGAAAAAAGGAUAACAAGUAUACCAGAAAAAAAAAAAAAGGCAAAUAUCUUUUUUGAACCUAUUAAAUUAGAGUGGGAUUAAUAAGUUUUAUUGUUUUCCCUCCCCUUUUUCAAGCAAGUUCUUAUCUGCUCUAAGCUUUUGGUGUGGAAGGGCUGGGACAGCGAGGCAAGGAGCAGCUCUUUGCUUUGCUCUUUCUUUGCACGAGGGGAGAGGAUUUUCCCCCCGGUUGUCUUCCUUUGGUGCUCGAGAGUUGCCCUGGGAGCUCGUGACGCUGUUAGCCACCAAAAACUCACCACCUGGAGGGAUUCACACCCCAACCAUCUCCUCUCUUGCUCAGAAAUCAGGGGGGUCGGGGUGGAUGUGAGGAUUUGGGAGCGGCACGGCAGAGCCCCCGUGUUCUGGGGUCCCUUCCCUGGCUCUCCAUCCCACUUUCUGGUGACCUCAUGAAGUCCGCUUUGUCCCUCUUUGCCUUGGUUCCCCCAUGUGGGGAAGAGGAGGGCUCUGUCUUUGCACCCAUGGGUUUAUUUAACACCCUGUCAUCCUGCUGAGUCGUUGCAGGAGUUUGCUCAACCACGACCCACUCGGAUGGAGCAAGGGGCAGGAGUUUUCCUCCUGGUUUAGGAACCUCCGGGUGCUUUUCAGGAGCAGCUCCUGCUUUACAGGACUGGAAAGCACCAGAGAUGGACCAGAGAUGGAGAUGUUUUGUCCUGAGCCAGCCAAGCUCCAUGUUCCCUGGUGCCCAGAAGAAGCAAGCCAUGUGCCAGAAGCUCGGUGUGCCUGGCUCUGCCCAGGAGCAGCAAUUUUCUGUAGGUUUAGGGCUACGCAACCACAUCUCCUGCCCAGGGUCGUGGUGCCAAGGCUGAGCUCUUGGUGUGACGGCUGUGCCCUGGGCCACUUGCUCCUUCUGGCCCCGGAGGCUUUGCAAAAUUCUUGGUGCCAAGAGAAGAAAACACCCGAGGCUGUGCCACCCCAAAGCAAAUCAUCCCCUGAGGUCCUGCCCGAGGGGACGGCGCGGCUGCGCCCCACGUACCCCAUCCCUCGCUCAGAGGGGACAUUUUGGGAAGGGGCUGGUGCUCCUGCCUGCAUCUUCGCAUCCCUGCAACCCUCCCUGCCAAACUGCAGGGGAAACAACCUCCCCGUGUGCCAGCACUGCCUGCCUGCAGCCCCCGUGGAGCCUUACAGCCCCCGGCCGUGCAGAGCCGGAGCGGGGAAGGGGAGCAAAGCAACCACGCUCUGUCCAGGCUAUUUAUUUUGUGCUGGGGUAAGGGAUUUUUUAUAUAUAUAUAUAUAUAUAUAUUUUUUUUGCUUCAGACAUGCGAUGAGUGUGUUACUCAGCCAUGACUCGAAAACUUGUGAGCAAUAAAGUCAUCCUGAAGUCUGCCAAAAAAAAAUCUUCGCAGCACACCCACCUCCUCACACGUUCCCACUGUAGCUCCUUCAGUGUGAUCUUGCUGCCGAAACGCGGCUACCUCCAGGGGGGCUGCGGUGGCCAUCUGGGAGCUUGCGGCAAUAGCCCAUGGGCACAGCACCCUGGGGUGGCACCUGCCUGGGGACUGGGGCCACCACAAAAAUAGCGGGCUGGGGCUUGCUCCAAAAUCCAGGAGAAAACAGGGCUGGAAGGGCGUGGAGAGGCUUGUGUACCUCGGUGUAGUCCUUCCCCUAAAGAAUGGGUUGGGUCCCACGUUGUUGGGUUUGACCUUUUGGGGUCCAGACCAACCCCAAAUCCCACAUGGGGUGGAGAGACUAUGGCCCUUGCACCUCCUGAAAGGACCUGAAGGGAAGGGACCUUCAGGAGCAGCUCCUUGGGUUCUUGGGUCCCGUACGUGGCCCCAUGGGGACUGGCUGCAUGUGGGGCUUCCCUGGGGCUCCAGGAGCCCUACACCAGCCCACACCAGCCACCAUUUGGGGUGGCCAUCGGUGGUGGCCCCGGGAAGAGGUGCCAUGGAGACGUGUAGGAUCUGCUGCUAAACCAGCCAAGUGGGGUUGGCGUUGUGCAUCAAAACCCAAAUUCCCAUUACCGGGGACUGCACCAGGAGGCAGGGGGGAGCCGGAGCCAUCACCCCUCGGGGUAAAGGGUCUGAUGGCUCUGGGACUGGGGUGCUGUUGGGGUGGGAUAACGGGGCUGUCAAGCUCUGGGGUGGGCCAGAAGGGAGAAGGUUGGAGCCAGAGGCACCCUGUAACCUCCCCGCGGGCGGGCAGCGGGUUGGGGGCAGCACCCCCCCACCUCGCCCGAAUUACCGGGGUAAAAACCUCCUCCGCCAAGGCCUCCUCUCCCCACCCUUUCCCCGCGCCGGGGCCCUAAAUAAUUGAUAGGCUGCUAAAUAAUAGAUCUGGUAUUUGCUCCUUCGCCGUUCUCCGGCGGGGCGUGCGCGCUCGCAGCCUGGCGCUGCUGCAUUAGGGUUACAGCGGGUGCGUGUGUGUCGGCCGGGGUAGGGAGCUGUGCAGGGAGAGGGGAGAGCAUUCCGGGGAGAUAAAGGGCUGGUUUGAUGUGUGUUCAUGUGGCGGGGCUGUUUUGCCUUGCAUGCCUUUCUCUUUUGCUUUAUUUUUUUUUUUUUUUUCCUGGAGUGAAGCCUGGCGCCAGCAGUCUGGAACCAGCCUGACAAGCUUUUGAGUUAUGGAAAGGGGGGAGGCGGCGGAGAGGGGGGAGGAGGAGAGAGAAAAGAGGGAGCGAGAGAGGC